Molecule: unclassified non-coding RNA, 369 nt
Filed under: Artemisia mongolica
Lineage: Eukaryota; Viridiplantae; Streptophyta; Magnoliopsida; Asterales; Asteraceae
Description: partial external transcribed spacer
Source: RNAcentral
UUUGGUUUGUCACGUGUGGUUGGCUGCGGCGUUUGCAACAACUUCCAUGCUUUCAGACCUCUUCAGUUGUGCGGCAAGGCUUGUAUCGCCUUGNCGUAUUGUGGGUUUUCUGUGUUGUAUACCUAAUCAAUGGUAUCGGUUGGAUUGAUCAAUGUUUNAUUUCGUCUGUCGUNGCAUUNGCGGCGUGAGACGAACCUNGAUGCGGUCUCUUUGGCCCACCUCGUCGAAGCNCAUGCUUUGACGUUGUGGCACAUUGAGCAUUGCUUGGUNUCUUGUAUACGGAACAUAUAGUGGGCAUGGAUCUAACGAUUCUUGUUUGCCCUCAUGUUAGCGUAACGCUUCUCUUACACGACUUGCUCCACGUUUUAG